Molecule: long non-coding RNA, 366 nt
Filed under: Vigna radiata
Lineage: Eukaryota; Viridiplantae; Streptophyta; Magnoliopsida; Fabales; Fabaceae
Description: long non-coding RNA (VRAD_LNC012980)
Source: RNAcentral
AAUUAUAAUAUUUUUGUAAUAUUAUUUAUUAUCAAGUUGAAAUUAAAUAUUUUUAAAAACAAAAAAAAUUAAUCACAGACCACCAGCGAGCCUUUCUAACUUCUCUAUUCAUCCAAAUCCAAAACCUCUCUUUCUCCCUCUCUCUUUGCCUUCUCCCUUCUCUCUCUUCACCUCGACCAAACCACGCAUCCAAACUCUCUGUUUUCCCUGCUUUCAAACUCUGUCUUCCCACUAUUUCUCGUCCCCUCUCACUACUGGCUUCCUCACCAGAAGACGAUACGAUAGAGUGCCCUUGACUGGAACUGUCGAGAUCUGUGUCAACAGAAGAGACACCCCGAAAUCGAAUCCAAGAAACAAACGCCUGCC